UUGGAGGGCAAGUCUGGUGCCAGCAGCCGCGGUAAUUCCAGCUCCAAUAGCGUAUAUUAAAGUUGUUGCAGUUAAAAAGCUCGUAGUUGAAUUUCGGGGUUCAUCCGUUGGUCGGGCUUUUUGGUCUGUACUGGCGUGAUGGAUUCCUACCUUCUGAAUAACCAGCAUGUCAUUAAUUUGGUGCGCUGGGGAAGCAGGACUGUUACCUUGAAAAAAUUAGAGUGUUUAAAGCAGGCUAUCGCCUGAAUACAUUAGCAUGGAAUAAUGAAAUAGGACGGCAUGGUUCUAUUUUGUUGGUUUCUAGGAUCACCGUAAUGAUUAAUAGGGAUAGUUGGGGGCAUUAGUAUUCAAUUGUCAGAGGUGAAAUUCUUGGAUUUAUUGAAGACUAACUUCUGCGAAAGCAUUUGCCAAGGAUGUUUUCAUUAAUCAAGAACGAAAGUUAGGGGAUCGAAGACGAUCAGAUACCGUCGUAGUCUUAACCAUAAACUAUGCCGACUAGGGAUCGGACGAUGUUAAUUUUUUAAUGACUCGUUCGGCGCCUUACGGGAAAC
RNAcentral lists this ribosomal RNA (551 nucleotides) under uncultured Glomeromycotina. RNAcentral describes it as "SSU rRNA". It matches the Rfam family "Eukaryotic small subunit ribosomal RNA", at positions 548 to 1098 of the family's 1831-position model. The record is from RNAcentral. Lineage: Eukaryota; Fungi; Glomeromycota.